RNAcentral lists this ribosomal RNA (492 nucleotides) under uncultured bacterium. RNAcentral describes it as "partial 16S ribosomal RNA". It matches the Rfam family "Bacterial small subunit ribosomal RNA", at positions 29 to 507 of the family's 1533-position model. The record is from RNAcentral.
AGUGAACGCUGGCGGUAGGCCUAACACAUGCAAGUCGAACGGCAGCACAGUAAGAGCUUGCUCUUACGGGUGGCGAGUGGCGGACGGGUGAGGAAUACAUCGGAAUCUACUUUUUCGUGGGGGAUAACGUAGGGAAACUUACGCUAAUACCGCAUACGACCUACGGGUGAAAGCAGGGGAUCUUCGCACCUUGCGCGAUUGAAUGAGCCGAUGUCGGAUUAGCUAGUUGGCGGGGUAAAGGCCCACCAAGGCGACGAUCCGUAGCUGGUCUGAGAGGAUGAUCAGCCACACUGGAACUGAGACACGGUCCAGACUCCUACGGGAGGCAGCAGUGGGGAAUAUUGGACAAUGGGCGCAAGCCUGAUCCAGCCAUACCGCGUGGGUGAAGAAGGCCUUCGGGUUGUAAAGCCCUUUUGUUGGGAAAGAAAAGCAGCAGGUUAAUACCCCGCUGUUCUGACGGUACCCAAAGAAUAAGCGCCGGCUAACUUCGUG